RNAcentral lists this transfer RNA (73 nucleotides) under Caldithrix abyssi DSM 13497. It matches the Rfam family "tRNA". From Rfam's summary of the family: Transfer RNA (tRNA) molecules are approximately 80 nucleotides in length. Their secondary structure includes four short double-helical elements and three loops (D, anti-codon, and T loops). Further hydrogen bonds mediate the characteristic L-shaped molecular structure. tRNAs have two regions of fundamental functional importance: the anti-codon, which is responsible for specific mRNA codon recognition, and the 3' end, to which the tRNAs corresponding amino acid is attached (by aminoacyl-tRNA synthetases). tRNAs cope with the degeneracy of the genetic code in two manners: having more than one tRNA (with a specific anti-codon) for a particular amino acid; and 'wobble' base-pairing, i.e. permitting non-standard base-pairing at the 3rd anti-codon position. The record is from Rfam by way of RNAcentral. Lineage: Bacteria; Pseudomonadati; Calditrichota; Calditrichia; Calditrichales; Calditrichaceae. RNAcentral also lists the same sequence under 6 other names.
GGGGCCGUAGCUCAGCUGGGAGAGCACCAGAAUCGCACUCUGGGGGUCGGGAGUUCGAAUCUCCUCGGCUCCA